GAUGAACGCUGGCGGCGUGCCUAAUACAUGCAAGUCGAGCGAACAGACGAGGAGCUUGCUCCUCUGACGUUAGCGGCGGACGGGUGAGUAACACGUGGAUAACCUACCUAUAAGACUGGGAUAACUUCGGGAAACCGGAGCUAAUACCGGAUAAUAUAUUGAACCGCAUGGUUCAAUAGUUAAAGACGGUUUUGCUGUCACUUAUAGAUGGAUCCGCGCCGCAUUAGCUAGUUGGUAAGGUAACGGCUUACCAAGGCAACGAUGCGUAGCCGACCUGAGAGGGUGAUCGGCCACACUGGAACUGAGACACGGUCCAGACUCCGACGGGAGGCAGCAGUAGGGAAUCUUCCGCAAUGGGCGAAAGCCUGACGGAGCAACGCCGCGUGAGUGAUGAAGGUCUUCGGAUCGUAAAACUCUGUUAUUAGGGAAGAACAAAUGUGUAAGUAACUAUGCACGUCUUGACGGUACCUAAUCAGAAAGCCACGGCUAACUACGUG
Molecule: ribosomal RNA, 497 nt
Filed under: uncultured bacterium
Lineage: Bacteria
Description: partial 16S ribosomal RNA
Rfam family: Bacterial small subunit ribosomal RNA
Source: RNAcentral